UUUUCCUAAUAGUACUGGCAUGUGUUUAUCUAACAAUGGUAUUUAAAAAAAUCAUUGCUACAAGAAUGGCAUUAAUUUUGUGGACAUGAAUAUAGAGUUUUAUGUAAAUACUGUGUACUGCAUACAUUAGUACAGGUCCCUAUAAUCUCUUGUGACUCUUAUUACAGCUGCAUAACGUUCACACUCACCGCACUAAGGGAGUAUCUAAGUUUUCUAUUGGGUAGUGUCACAGUAAACACUCUGAAGGAGUAAUUUGUAUGUUGUAUUAUACCAGUGUCUGUGUAUAUAAUGUUAAGUGCGUGUACUGAUAGUAUUAAGGGAGAACUCAAGGUACUGUUGUAUGUUGUAUUAUACCAGUGUCUGUGUAUAUAAUGUUAAGUGUGUGUACUGAUAGUAUUAAGGUCAGUUAUUUUGUAUGGAGAAGAGACCUUCAUUUAUGGGAGAAGGUCAGUUAUGUUUGUGUGGUGCUGUGACCUUAAUUCCUUGGGAAGGUCAACUAUUUUUGUAUUGUCACAGAGUGCAGUAUUUUAAUUAUGUCUAAAAUAAUUACACUGCUAGACUAAACUCACACUGGUAGACUAAUCUGACACUGCUGGACCAAACUCACACUGCUAGACUAAACUUACAGUGCUAGACUAAACUCACACUGCUAGCCAAACUUACACUGCUAGACUAAACUCACACUGCUAGACUAAACUCACACUGCUAGACUAAUCUGACACUGCUGGACCAAACUCUCACUGCUAGACUUCUUUGCCAGCUCCCCAAAGAACAACUACACAUACUGUCCUGCGGUCUGGUGGCAGCGACCCUAAGUUAAGAAGUAAACCCUAGUAUUAAGUGACCAAUUAAAGGGCAGUAUAACUGUAUACACUUGGCCAUGAUGUUCCCCAAACAUAAAUAUCUUACAGAAUGAGAUAUAAGUAUUUAAACUA
Molecule: long non-coding RNA, 935 nt
Organism: Homarus americanus (American lobster)
Lineage: Eukaryota; Metazoa; Arthropoda; Malacostraca; Decapoda; Nephropidae
Exons: 2
Source: RefSeq, a predicted model, not a curated record